RNAcentral lists this long non-coding RNA (582 nucleotides) under Homo sapiens (human). RNAcentral describes it as "HSALNT0305372". Lineage: Eukaryota; Metazoa; Chordata; Mammalia; Primates; Hominidae. The record is from RNAcentral.
AGCCGAGUUCGCGCCGCCGGUAGGUGCUGCCAUGCCAGGGGGCGGGAUCGUGGAGCGCCUCGCAGAACCGCACGAAAGCAAAAACAAAGCCAUCUCUCCGGAGCAGAAAUAGAACAGACGUGGCCGGGGAAAGCCAAAUAUUUCCUGCCGUCCUGGUGAACACAAUCGAGCAAGGCAGUGAAGCAAACAUCAUUAGGUGGCUGGACUCAGACACAUCACGCUCCAGUUUGGGUUCCAAGGUGCUUCUCUCUGGAUUUUCACCUGCCUUGCCAAAAAUGAUUGAUUACGCUGGGCCAACUGGGUGUCCGGCAAUACCCAACAAAUGACUUUGGCCCCUAACAGCAGGUCUUGGCCAGACAGAAAUCAAUAUUUCACCAUUAAAAUCUAUCAAAGAAGAGUUAAGGCACCAUCUGUCCCUGCCGCCUCUCUAUGGUGUGUGAACAUUAAAUCCGACACUUGUACUACAUGGGUAAUCAAUAUAUAGUGGUUCACAGAUCAUUUGUGGUUCCCUUUUAGCAGUGAUGGAUGUCUGGAAUCGUUGUGAUUCAUUUUGUCAGACCAUUAAACAAGAUUCUGUCCAGU